Molecule: non-coding RNA, 44 nt
Filed under: Trichobilharzia regenti
Lineage: Eukaryota; Metazoa; Platyhelminthes; Trematoda; Strigeidida; Schistosomatidae
Source: RNAcentral
AUCCAGAUGACGAGUCCAAAAUGGACGAAAUUCGCAUCCCGGAU